RNAcentral lists this ribosomal RNA (280 nucleotides) under uncultured bacterium. RNAcentral describes it as "partial 16S ribosomal RNA". It matches the Rfam family "Bacterial small subunit ribosomal RNA", at positions 338 to 615 of the family's 1533-position model. The record is from RNAcentral.
CCUACGGGGGGCAGCAGUGAGGAAUAUUGGUCAAUGGGCGGGAGCCUGAACCAGCCAAGUCGCGUGAGGGAUUAAGGUACAGCGUAUCGUAAACUUCUUUUGUCAGGGAACAAAGGCGGGGACUAGUCCCCGGAUGCGUGUACCUUAAGAAUAAGCAUCGGCUAACUCCGUGCCAGCAGCCGCGGUAAUACGGAGGAUGCGAGCGUUAUCCGGAUUUAUUGGGUUUAAAGGGUGCGCAGGCGGCUUGUUAAGUCAGUGGUAAAAGCCUGCGGCUCAACCC